RNAcentral lists this ribosomal RNA (492 nucleotides) under uncultured bacterium. RNAcentral's name for it is "partial 16S ribosomal RNA". It matches the Rfam family "Bacterial small subunit ribosomal RNA", at positions 28 to 505 of the family's 1533-position model. The record is from RNAcentral.
GACGAACGCUGGCGGCGUGCUUAACACAUGCAAGUCGAACGGAAAGGCCUGCUUUCCCUUGUGGAUUGCGGGUACUCGAGUGGCGAACGGGUGAGUAACACGUGAGUGAUCUGCCCCCAACUUGGGUAUAAGCCUGGGAAACUGGGUCUAAUUCCCGAUAGGACUGCAGGGUGGUGCCUGUGGUGGAAAACGAUUUUCUAGUGGUUGGGGAUGAGCUCGCGGCCUAUCAGCUUGGUGGUGGGGUAAUGGCCUACCAAGGCGGCGACGGGUAGCCGGCCUGAGAGGGUGGACGGACACAUUGGGACUGAGAUACGGCCCAGACUCCUACGGGAGGCAGCAGUGGGGAAUAUUGCACAAUGGGCGGAAGCCUGAUGCAGCGACGCCGCGUGGGGGAUGACGGCCUUCGGGUUGUAAACUCCUUUCGACCGCGAGGAAGCCACCUGGUUGGAAGGGUGGUGACGGUAGUGGUAGAAGAAGCACCGGCUAACUACG